Long non-coding RNA from Columba livia (rock pigeon), 1489 nucleotides. RefSeq lists it as uncharacterized. The record is from RefSeq and is a predicted model, not a curated record. Lineage: Eukaryota; Metazoa; Chordata; Aves; Columbiformes; Columbidae. The transcript has 4 exons.
AUAGAAACAAGGAAACUUUUCGGAGCUGUCAAUCAGGGCCCCAUCAGCUGACUGUCAGCUGGGGAGUGCCUUAACCCCUUCCUGCCCAACGCCUCCAGCCGGACUCACUGGCCUCCCCUCCCGCCCCUCGCUCCCCCCCCUCCCCCGGGAGGGGGAUGGGGAUGGGGCCGGGGGGGUGCCGUGGAAGCGGCGAGCGGGCUGGACGCGGAGCGGCGGAUCGGCUCGGUUUAAAUCUCGACAGCGCCAUCUCUCGUCGAAAGCGUUACAGAAACACAGAACAACCCUAUAUAGGAGAAGAGGGAAAAGCAGCAGCAGUGAAGCAGCAGACAUCAAUUACUAUAUGCAUGUUCAAUCACCAUGAUGCUGCGUGCUAGGAUGCCUGUGUAUUUUGUCUGGAUGCAUAAAGGCUGUCCUCCUGGGAGCAUUCAAAUGAGCACAUCUAUAAAUGUAGCACAGCAAAAUGAGCUACUUUUGCCACUCUCGCUUCUCCUGAGCCUGCUACAAUCCACUUCUGCGACAACAGUUUUUUGCCCCAUAUACGUCUGACACUGCUCUUUUAUUUUAAGGCUGAGAAAAUCUUCCCUUUAAACUCACGCUGAGCAUCAAAUUGGACUCCACUUGCAGCUGAACAUCUUGGCUGCCUCUUCCUUUCCUCCAUCAGCUCCAGUACGUCUUAUGUAGAAUCCUCCCUGUUAAUGAAACUCGCUUCUCCUUCCUCCUCACUUUCCAGUGUUCCGUUAGCGUUACUGGAUCCACCAGACUUGAUGUGUUUGAAGAUCUGUUAAAACUCUGUAAAAGGAAAGGGGGAAAGCAAAGUUUGAUUUUCCAACUGAGUCUCCUACUUGGCCAGUCUGCACAGACCCGAAGCACACAACCUCUCUUUAUUUGUAUGUAAAGUUUCUGUUGCUAAAUUAGAAAAAGUAGUUUGCAAAGGCAGGCUGAAACACAUAUCUUGGUUGCUUUUGUGUAACACCCAAGAGGGCUUUUGUUUUAGCUCCAGGAAUUGUGAGGUAUGAGCAGCUGCUUCAAUUUUGUUCCCCUGGAAGUGCCUGACAGUCCCUAUACGGAAGAUGCAGCAUCAGUGCUACACCUGAGCGUGCAAGUUGCUCCAUGCACCGAGUACAAAUGACGUGACAGCUUUUUAGCAAUAAGAAUAUUUUCAUUGCUUGCUUCUACCAUUUGUAAAAUGCUAAAAAGAUUGCAAAUAGUUUUGUAUGAUGCAGAAACAAUUUCUCUGUCUGAAGGGAAAACGGCACAGGGGUGCGACGGAAACGCUGCAGGUGACUCUGAGCCGUGGUUAAAGGCUGGAGUCACCAGAUCUGUGCUGUGGUUGGUUCAUGAUGCAUGUCCUACUUUACUCAUUUUUGUGAAUAGCUUUGCCUAGAUGUAAAAAUCAAUGAAGACAUUUUGACACUAAAAAAAAAAAUAAAUCUAUUUAUCUAAAAGAAAUAAAAACUGAAAUUGCAAUAAAGAUUUUUACCAAGCUUUA